GGUGGGUGUGGGGGAAGGAGUGGAAAAAGCAGCCGCCCAACCUCAAUGCAGAAGCAGGUGCUCCAUAACACAACGGUUACACGGAAGAUUAGCAGCAAAGGGAAGUUGGAUGUUGCAGUCGAGAUGUAACUCCCUUGAGGGGAGAUCUGGAGAUUUUUUGCCCAGAGGUCGGUUGGCUGAUGGCAUCUUGUAUCCCAUGCCCAGUAGGAGUCUGGUUGUCCUUAUGGCUGGUUUUCCUGUUGCUCUUUCUGCCUGGACAACAUGGUGGUGAGUUGAUGCUAAAUGAAGAGAUUGUUCCUUUUUUGUUCUGUAUUUGUAUGCAUGUUUAAUUGUUCCCUAGAGAGAAGCUCUGAGCUCCCAGUGGGGCAGUGGGUUAAACUGCUGAGCUGCUGAACUUGCUGACCAAAAGGCCAGAUGUUUGAAUCUGGGGAGCGGGGUGAGCUCCCACUGUUAGCCCCAGCUUUUGCUGACUUUGCAGUUCAAAAACAUGCAAAUGUAAGUAGAUCAAUAGGUACCGCUCCAGCAGGAAGGUAAAAGUGCUCCAUGCAGUCAUGCUGGCCACAUGACCUUGGAAGUGUCUAUGGACAAUGCUGGGUCUUCAACUUAGAAAUGGAGAUGAGCACCAACCCCCAGAGUCAGAGACGACUAGACUUGGGGAAAACCUUUACCUUUAGCUUAGAGAGAAGAUAUCAUUUUUAGCAAGGACGCAGCAAAAAAUUUCAACAGCUGCCGUUUCCCCAGGACAGAUGUGCAGAAACGGGGAGAAAUGCUUCUAUUAAACUUCUGCCUGAAAAGUUGCUUUUACAAGGCUUUCCGCAACUACAGCAUUUGCCCUUCUCAUGAGGAAGUCUUGUAGAAGUUCUAGUUGAAAACAAGUUCAUGAAUUUUUUGUUCUCAUAGAACAGGGCUGUUCACGGGCAUUGGAGAAACCAUCCACUUUGACAAAGGUUGAGUUCAAAAUACAGCAUUGCAGUUUGUAAGUUUUUGCUCCCAUGUCUAAGGUUUUCCUAUCUUAAUCAUUUCUUGAGGGAUGUCUGUGUGUGUGUUUGUCGGGAGAAGCCACCUUUUUGGACAAUUGUUCCCAUUAUCUCAGGGAUUUGGGGAGUGUAAGUCCAAAAAAUAACCUUUUCAAGCUCAGAUGCUGCGUAUUACAAAUAGGAAAGCACAAUUGUUAUAUGUAUUAUGUACUCACGCUGUGUACAUAAUAUACACAAUGAGAUUCCACGUUGUACAUAAAUGCAUGCAUGAAUAGUUCAACAACACUUUUCUCUGCCUCUUUACUUUCAUUUAUCCCCCUUCCCCCCCCCCCCCCCUUCUGACAGGCAAAACGAAUUCAUCCGGAACAACUACAACUCCCCCUAUGACAACUCCUGGUGAGUAAAUAUCAACUCAAAUGGGUUCCUGACAUUUCCUUUUUAUUUCUUAUCCCACUCCAAAUUAUGCUGGUGUGACUGAGGGCAGAAAGAUGCAUAAAACUAUGGAGAUUUGUGGCCCUGAUGGGAACUAGAGGUGUCUCUUUACUCCUCCUGAGGUCAGUAAGAAGGAUGCAUCCACACUGCAGAAUUAAUGCAGUGUGAUACUACUUUGUCAUGUCUCAAUGCAAUGGAAUCCAAGGAGGUGUUGUUUUGGUGACACAUUUGCUUUCUUUGGCAGAGAAGGCUGAACUACAACUCGCAUGUUUCCAUUGAGCCAUGACAGCUAAAGUGGUAUCAAACUGCACUAAUUCUACAAUGUAGAUGCAUGUUGAGCAUCUAUAGAAGUCUUGCUCCAAACAGUGUUCUAAUCUUUACUAUCAUUAACUUUUCUAACAAAGUAACAGCACUGCCUGUUUUGCUGCCUGAGUUCUAUCCCAUUUUUGACUAACGUAAUGGCCAAUAGUAGCUUCCAAGUCAGUAGAAUGGUGGAUCUAUACUGGGUUUGAGUCCAAACUGUAA
Anolis carolinensis (green anole) is the source of this 1934-nucleotide long non-coding RNA. The record is from Ensembl. NCBI's taxonomy places the organism in Eukaryota, Metazoa, Chordata, Lepidosauria, Squamata, Anolidae.